GUGGGGAAUAUUGGACAAUGGGCGAAAGCCUGAUCCAGCCAUGCCGCGUGUGUGAAGAAGGUCUUCGGAUUGUAAAGCACUUUAAGUUGGGAGGAAGGGCAGUAAGUUAAUACCUUGCUGUUUUGAUGUUACCGACAGAAUAAGCACCGGCUAACUUCGUGCCAGCAGCCGCGGUAAUACGAAGGGUGCAAGCGUUAAUCGGAAUUACUGGGCGUAAAGCGCGCGUAGGUGGUUUUGUAAGUUGGAGGUGAAAUCCCCGGGCUCAACCUGGGAACUGCCUCCAAAACUGCAUGACUAGAGUACGGUAGAGGGUAGUGGAAUUUCCUGUGUAGCGGUGAAAUGCGUAGAUAUAGGAAGGAACACCAGUGGCGAAGGCGACUACCUGGACUGAUACUGACACUGAGGUGCGAAAGCGUGGGGAGCAAACAGGAUUAGAUACCCUUGUAGUCC
Molecule: ribosomal RNA, 450 nt
Filed under: uncultured bacterium
Lineage: Bacteria
Description: bacterial SSU rRNA
Rfam family: Bacterial small subunit ribosomal RNA
Source: RNAcentral